Molecule: ribosomal RNA, 2914 nt
Filed under: Vibrio parahaemolyticus
Lineage: Bacteria; Pseudomonadati; Pseudomonadota; Gammaproteobacteria; Vibrionales; Vibrionaceae
Description: bacterial LSU rRNA
Rfam family: Bacterial large subunit ribosomal RNA
Source: RNAcentral
GUUGUAUGGUUAAGUGACUAAGCGUACACGGUGGAUGCCUUGGCAGUCAGAGGCGAUGAAAGACGUAGUAACUUGCGAUAAGCCCAGAUUAGGUAGUAACAACCAUUUGAGUCUGGGAUUUCUGAAUGGGGAAACCCACGUGCAUAAGCACGUAUCCUUACCUGAAUACAUAGGGUAAGGAGGCGAACCGGGGGAACUGAAACAUCUAAGUACCCCGAGGAAAAGAAAUCAACCGAGAUUCCGAAAGUAGCGGCGAGCGAAAUUGGACUAGCCCUUAAGCUUUACACGCGUUAGACGAACGGUCUGGAAAGUCCGACGAUACAGGGUGAUAGUCCCGUAGUUGACGACGUGUGUUCAGUGAAAUCGAGUAGGGCGGGACACGUGAUAUCCUGUCUGAAUAUGGGGGGACCAUCCUCCAAGGCUAAAUACUACUGACUGACCGAUAGUGAACCAGUACCGUGAGGGAAAGGCGAAAAGAACCCCUGUGAGGGGAGUGAAAUAGAACCUGAAACCGUGUACGUACAAGCAGUAGGAGCAGGCUUGUCCUGUGACUGCGUACCUUUUGUAUAAUGGGUCAGCGACUUAUAUUCAGUGGCAAGGUUAACCAUCUAGGGGAGCCGUAGGGAAACCGAGUCUUAACUGGGCGUUCAGUCUCUGGAUAUAGACCCGAAACCAGGUGAUCUAGCCAUGGGCAGGUUGAAGGUUGAGUAACAUCAACUGGAGGACCGAACCGACUAAUGUUGAAAAAUUAGCGGAUGACUUGUGGCUAGGGGUGAAAGGCCAAUCAAACCUGGAGAUAGCUGGUUCUCCCCGAAAGCUAUUUAGGUAGCGCCUCGGACGAAUACUACUGGGGGUAGAGCACUGUUAAGGCUAGGGGGUCAUCCCGACUUACCAACCCUUUGCAAACUCCGAAUACCAGUAAGUACUAUCCGGGAGACACACGGCGGGUGCUAACGUCCGUCGUGGAGAGGGAAACAACCCAGACCGCCAGCUAAGGUCCCAAAUUACUACUAAGUGGGAAACGAUGUGGGAAGGCUCAGACAGCCAGGAUGUUGGCUUAGAAGCAGCCAUCAUUUAAAGAAAGCGUAAUAGCUCACUGGUCGAGUCGGCCUGCGCGGAAGAUGUAACGGGGCUAAGUAGUAAACCGAAGCUGCGGCAAUACUCUUUGAGUAUUGGGUAGGGGAGCGUUCUGUAAGCGGUUGAAGGUGUGUGGUAACGCAUGCUGGACGUAUCAGAAGUGCGAAUGCUGACAUGAGUAACGAUAAAGGGGGUGAAAAACCUCCUCGCCGGAAGACCAAGGGUUCCUGUCCAACGUUAAUCGGGGCAGGGUAAGUCGACCCCUAAGGCGAGGCCGAAAGGCGUAGUCGAUGGGAAACGGGUUAAUAUUCCCGUACUUCUUACAAUUGCGAUGGGGGGACGGAGAAGGCUAGGUGGGCCUGGCGACGGUUGUCCAGGUUCAAGUGCGUAGGCUUAAGAGUUAGGUAAAUCCGGCUCUUUUUAAGGCUGAGACACGACGUCGAGCACCUACGGGUGUGAAGUCAUUGAUGCCAUGCUUCCAGGAAAAGCCUCUAAGCUUCAGAUUGUAAGGAAUCGUACCCCAAACCGACACAGGUGGUCGGGUAGAGAAUACCAAGGCGCUUGAGAGAACUCGGGUGAAGGAACUAGGCAAAAUGGUACCGUAACUUCGGGAGAAGGUACGCUCUUGAUGGUGAAGUCCCUCGCGGAUGGAGCUGACGAGAGUCGCAGAUACCAGGUGGCUGCAACUGUUUAUUAAAAACACAGCACUGUGCAAAAUCGUAAGAUGACGUAUACGGUGUGACGCCUGCCCGGUGCCGGAAGGUUAAUUGAUGGGGUUAGACUUCGGUCGAAGCUCUUGAUCGAAGCCCCGGUAAACGGCGGCCGUAACUAUAACGGUCCUAAGGUAGCGAAAUUCCUUGUCGGGUAAGUUCCGACCUGCACGAAUGGCGUAAUGAUGGCCACGCUGUCUCCACCCGAGACUCAGUGAAAUUGAAAUCGCUGUGAAGAUGCAGUGUACCCGCGGCUAGACGGAAAGACCCCGUGAACCUUUACUACAGCUUGGCACUGAACAUUGACCCUACAUGUGUAGGAUAGGUGGGAGGCUUUGAAGCACGUACGCCAGUAUGUGUGGAGCCGUCCUUGAAAUACCACCCUUGUAGUGUUGAUGUUCUAACGUCGACCCCUUAUCGGGGUUGCGGACAGUGCCUGGUGGGUAGUUUGACUGGGGCGGUCUCCUCCCAAAGAGUAACGGAGGAGCACGAAGGUGGGCUAAUCACGGUUGGACAUCGUGAGGUUAGUGCAAUGGCAUAAGCCCGCUUGACUGCGAGAAUGACAAUUCGAGCAGGUGCGAAAGCAGGUCAUAGUGAUCCGGUGGUUCUGAAUGGAAGGGCCAUCGCUCAACGGAUAAAAGGUACUCCGGGGAUAACAGGCUGAUACCGCCCAAGAGUUCAUAUCGACGGCGGUGUUUGGCACCUCGAUGUCGGCUCAUCACAUCCUGGGGCUGAAGUCGGUCCCAAGGGUAUGGCUGUUCGCCAUUUAAAGUGGUACGCGAGCUGGGUUUAGAACGUCGUGAGACAGUUCGGUCCCUAUCUGCCGUGGGCGUUGGAAGAUUGAAGGGGGCUGCUCCUAGUACGAGAGGACCGGAGUGGACGAACCUCUGGUGUUCGGGUUGUGUCGCCAGACGCAUUGCCCGGUAGCUAAGUUCGGAAUCGAUAACCGCUGAAAGCAUCUAAGCGGGAAGCGAGCCCUGAGAUGAGUCUUCCCUGAUACUUUAAGUAUCCUAAAGGGUUGUCGGAGACUACGACGUUGAUAGGUCAGGUGUGUAAGUGCUGUGAGGCAUUGAGCUAACUGAUACUAAUUGCCCGUGAGGCUUAACCAUACAACACCCAAGGGGUUU